CCUACGGGAGGCAGCAGUGGGGAAUCUUCGGCAAUGGGCGCAAGCCUGACCGAGCCAUGCCGCGUGAGCGAUGAAGGCCUUAGGGUUGUAAAGCUCUUUCGCCAGGGAUGAUAAUGACAGUACCUGGUAAAGAAACCCCGGCUAACUCCGUGCCAGCAGCCGCGGUAAU
RNAcentral lists this ribosomal RNA (169 nucleotides) under uncultured bacterium. Its description in RNAcentral is "partial 16S ribosomal RNA". It matches the Rfam family "Bacterial small subunit ribosomal RNA", at positions 338 to 524 of the family's 1533-position model. The record is from RNAcentral.